This 115-nucleotide Y RNA is filed under the name Prolemur simus (greater bamboo lemur). RNAcentral describes it as "Y RNA (ENSPSMG00000025845.1)". It matches the Rfam family "Y RNA". Rfam says of the family: Y RNAs are components of the Ro ribonucleoprotein particle (Ro RNP), in association with Ro60 and La proteins. The Y RNAs and Ro60 and La proteins are well conserved, but the function of the Ro RNP is not known. Lineage: Eukaryota; Metazoa; Chordata; Mammalia; Primates; Lemuridae. The record is from Rfam by way of RNAcentral.
GGCUGGUCCGAAGGUCAUGAGCUAUUUCACUUGAUUGCUCACAGUCAGUUACAGAUUGAAUUCCUUGUUCUACUACUUUCCGCCCCUUCUCACUACCACACUUCACUAGUCUAAA